Molecule: long non-coding RNA, 1118 nt
Organism: Zingiber officinale
Lineage: Eukaryota; Viridiplantae; Streptophyta; Magnoliopsida; Zingiberales; Zingiberaceae
Exons: 3
Source: RefSeq, a predicted model, not a curated record
CUUGUCGCACAAGCUCUCCUUUGCUUGCUCCGUAAGAAUGCCACUUCUGUGAGGCGUUCAUGGGCAAGAAAAAAAAACAGAAGAAAUCUUUGCAAGAAGGAAAUUCUAGCAAAAGAGAAGAGAGAUCUUUCUCUUUCUUUCUGCUAUGAUAUUCUUUGCUCGGUAGCUACAAGUGAUAGAGUUCAGGAAUCGAUGUAUUUGUUCCUCGAGCGAUGCAACUUACAAAUCCCACUUUGGUUUUAUUCCGGAGCGCUUGGUGUCGUCUUGAGCUUUCGACAUCGGCUUCACCGACUUGGCUCUCGGAGCACUUGACGACUCAGCAACCAGCUCUCGGAGCACUUGGUGACUCGGUAACCGACUAUCUCGGACACCCUGCAACUUCACUGACUCAGCAUCAAUGUUAUCGAUUCAACAUCGGCUCAGCUCGUGCAACCACCAGCGACGUCCUAAAAGAGCUCGGACGAAGUUGACGAUUGAUUUGCAUGCCAGGCCGACAAUUUAAGCAGCCAAGUCAUUCUUCCCAUUCUCAACAUUUAGGAGCAGCAAAUGUAAUGAGACAAAGCCUCGAAGGACGUCUAGGUUUCUGCUCGAGUUUAGUGGCCAUUGCGAGCUUGAGGGAAUACAGGUUCAUCCACUACGUUCGUUUGGAUGAACAGUUUGUUCAUGAGAAUAGUUACUUGAUUGUUCUAACGUGAAAGCUAACUGUGUUUCAAUACACAUCUUGUGUUGGAACUGUAUCGUAUGAAGUUAAUGGCGAAAGAAAAGCUGAAUUGUUCUGUCAGCAAUGGGAUUCAUUGUCUAACCAACAGGUCUGGAGUUGUAGCAGACUGAGUAAAACGGAUGAUGAUCGGAAGAAACUAUAAUUCUGGAUCUCCACAGAGCAUGCAUUCAGAUUAAUACGCAAGUUGAUGUACUUUUCAGUAAAAUAUGAGUAUCUUCGUGCAGAAAUGUAAUUAACAGUGUCAGUUCGUUCAUGCAAAAUUAAAUUUUAUCGAAUCUGGUCCAUGCUGCCAAGUUGAUGUUUCUGAAGUGCCCUUCGCUAAGUUGCGACAGGAAAGAAACUGCCAAUGGAGAUGUGAUGUCUCUUUGUCAACAGAUGGAUGCUUUCUGUCUCCGUG